AUGGGAUUUGGAGGCAGUCGGCUGUGCUUGUGUCUCUUGCUUGCCUUUGCUUUAAUCUCCUCUGCCCGGAACAACAUUCCAUUUUCAGGUAUGCAUGCAUGUUGAUUUCUUCUCUAUACCUAUAUAUAUAUCCUCAAAACUCAUUGCAUAAGAUGAGCAACUGAGUUUUGUGGACAUGGGUUGGGGAAAAAAAAACCAUGAUUUCCAAAACCAUUUAAUUUUAUUCAAACCCAAGUAUAUAUAGAGGAGUUCUGUAAAAACUAGAGAUAUAGAGGAGGAGAAUCAUUUUGUUGGAAAUUAAAUCUCAAGUUCUGCAUAUAUUUGUCUCAUUAUGAUAUACAAUAAUAUAUUAAUAUUAAUUAAAUCAUGAUCAAGAUUAAUCUUUUAAAAUUUUUUCAUUGAGCACCGUCAGGUAUCCGUUGUUUGAGUCUGGAAUCAAUUGGGAAAAUAGGGGGAGGAGGGUUUUGAAGUUCGUGCAACACCAGCUUGGUUUUUGGCUUCACGGUCUCUCAUCUCAUGCAUCCAUAUAUGUUUGUCUCUUUUAUAUGCAUUCUAUAUUUGCUAGUGGUGCUUAAUUAGGACACUAGUGUCACAGACUAAUUGAGACUCAAUAUAAUAUAGUUAUGUAUGUUGUCAGAUUGUAUGUAAACGUAAAAAUUAUGUUGUUAGACUGUGAAUCUAAACCAUUGAUUGAAUUCACAGUUUCACAAUAAAUAUAUGUGUGGGGUGAUUUCAUGGACUAAAGAUUAUGCAAUGAAGGCUAAUAAUUAGUUUUUUUUCUUCUUUGUUUUGUGUUUUGCUGGUGUGUUUGGUUACACUGCUAAUAGAUGAUGAGGUGGUAGUGGCCAUGGAGGGUAGAUCUUUGAUGGUGAGGAUAGACGACUACAGUGACCCAACUGCUAAUCGUGGGCAUGAUCCCUCCUCCUCCUCCCCCUCCUUCUCUAGAGCCAAGGCUGGGGGCCGCGGUGGCCGAAAAGGCUAG
Molecule: long non-coding RNA, 982 nt
Filed under: Prunus dulcis (almond)
Lineage: Eukaryota; Viridiplantae; Streptophyta; Magnoliopsida; Rosales; Rosaceae
Description: sRNA ncRNA
Source: RNAcentral